This 76-nucleotide transfer RNA is filed under the name Polaromonas sp. RNAcentral's name for it is "tRNA-Phe". It matches the Rfam family "tRNA". From Rfam's summary of the family: Transfer RNA (tRNA) molecules are approximately 80 nucleotides in length. Their secondary structure includes four short double-helical elements and three loops (D, anti-codon, and T loops). Lineage: Bacteria; Pseudomonadati; Pseudomonadota; Betaproteobacteria; Burkholderiales; Comamonadaceae. The record is from RNAcentral.
GCCUCGAUAGCUCAGUUGGUAGAGCAGCGGCCUGAAGAGCCGUGUGCGGUUGGUUCGAUCCCAACUCGAGGCACCA